UACAGAGGGUGCGAGCGUUGUUCGGAAUUACUGGGCGUAAAGCGCGCGUAGGCGGCUACUCAAGUCAGAGGUGAAAGCCCAGGGCUCAACCCUGGAACUGCCUUUGAAACUAGGUAGCUAGAAUCUUGGAGAGGUCAGUGGAAUUCCGAGUGUAGAGGUGAAAUUCGUAGAUAUUAGGAAGAACACCAGUGGCGAAGGCGGCUCACUGGUCCGGUACUGACGCUGAGGUGCGAAAGCGUGGGGAGCAAACAGG
This 253-nucleotide ribosomal RNA is filed under the name uncultured bacterium. RNAcentral's name for it is "partial 16S ribosomal RNA". It matches the Rfam family "Bacterial small subunit ribosomal RNA", at positions 524 to 776 of the family's 1533-position model. The record is from RNAcentral.